GUGGUUUAAUUCGAUGCAACGCGAAGAACCUUUACCUGGUCUUGACAUCACGGAAGUUUUCAGAGAUGAGAAUGUGGCCUUCGGGAACCGUGAGACAGGUGCUGCAUGGCUGUCGUCAGCUCGUGUUGUGAAAUGUUGGGUUAAGUCCCGCAACGAGCGCAACCCUUAUCCUUUGUUGCCAGCGGUCCGGCCGGGAACUCAAAGGAGACUGCCAGUGAUAAACUGGAGGAAGGUGGGAGUGACGUCAAGUCAUCAUGGCCCUUACGACCAGGGCUACACACGUGCUACAAUGGCGCAUACAAAGAGAAGCGACCUCGCGAGAGCAAGCGGACCUCAUAAAGUGCGUCGUAGUCCGGAUUGGAGUCUGCAACUCGACUCCAUGAAGUCGGAAUCGCUAGUAAUCGUGGAUCAGAAUGCCACGGUGAAUACGUUCCCGGGCCUU
RNAcentral lists this ribosomal RNA (442 nucleotides) under uncultured Enterobacteriaceae bacterium. RNAcentral's name for it is "bacterial SSU rRNA". It matches the Rfam family "Bacterial small subunit ribosomal RNA", at positions 941 to 1382 of the family's 1533-position model. The record is from RNAcentral. Lineage: Bacteria; Pseudomonadati; Pseudomonadota; Gammaproteobacteria; Enterobacterales; Enterobacteriaceae.